Long non-coding RNA from Mus musculus (house mouse), 2687 nucleotides. RefSeq annotates it as predicted gene, 51987. The record is from RefSeq and is a predicted model, not a curated record. The transcript is spliced from 4 exons. NCBI's taxonomy places the organism in Eukaryota, Metazoa, Chordata, Mammalia, Rodentia, Muridae.
GUCUCUUAACAGGAAUGGAAAUCCUAACUAAGACACAUCUGUAAACUCAACCAGUGGUCUACAGGGGUGGUGAAGUUUAACCAACACACAGAUAUGUUUGGAAUCUAUAGUCUCUACCUGUCCCAGGGAGAGUCUAUGCUCUUUCAGUUUAAGGGAUGGCUAAGAGCCCCUUAAAAAGACAGUUGCUAUGGAUCCAUUUCUAGCCCACUUCCCUGCCUAUCAAGCAGUGCUCUAAUGAUGGUGCCUCCAGAAAGAGGCCUUGAGUCUAAUUCUAGACCAAGGGAUAAAGAUAGAAGUGUCCUGAAAAGCUAAAAUUAAUAAGCCUCUUGAAACUUCUUAAAGGAUGCUUUCCCCAAGAUGCCUGGCCACGCUGGCAGGCUUUAGCACUAUGUCCAUACCAACUGUUUAGACAUACCCCAACUUAAAAUUGUAUGGAGACAGGCAGCAAACUGAUAGCCAGGUUAGUACAGAGAAACUCUCUGGUGUAAUAUCUGGAAGCAUCAAUAAAAUGCUGUUGGCCUAUUAACUUAAAGGGAAAUAGGAAGAGAGGAUUCUGGGAUGGAGUCAGCAUGAGGAGGUUUUGCCCUGAACUCUGAGGAAGGCGGUUGGUCACAUGAAACUGAAGGAGCAGUAGCUAGCCAUGUGGCAGGCCUUAGAAUAAGCAGAGCCAAGAGCCAACAGCCAUCACAAGGUGCUAGCUGAACAGCAGAGAGACAUGGUGGAUACCGGCUAUAGACACGUGGAAACAGCAGGAAAAGCUGAAAAGUCAACAGAUGUGGGAGGAAACUGAGAAACCCUUAAGGAGAAAGUUACAUAUUAAAAGAAAAUAUUUCCUGUUAAAAAAAUAAGUUAAUAUUUCCUAUGUUAAAAAAUUUUAACUCAUUUGUUUAAAAAAAUUUGGACCUGGGCUGGAGAGAUGGCUCAGAGUUAAGAGCACUGGCAGCUCUUCUAGAGGUCCUGAGUUCAAUUCCCAGCAACCACAUGGUGGCUCACAACCAUCUAUAAUUAGAUCUGGUGCCCUCUUCUGGGGUGCAGGCAUACAUGCAUGCAGAAUAUUGUAUAAUAAAUAAAUCUUUAAAAGAAAAAAAAGACUCAAUUUAUUAAAAAAAAAACUUAGACCCUAUAUAGUUUUGUUCUGAUUAUCAGCAUGCAAAUCAGUAAUGGUUAUGGUUGUCUUAUCCUCCUUAGAAAGAUCAGAAUAAGACAGACUUAGAUAAGGAGAAGACUGAAAGAUGAGGGUUAGGCUCCAGGUCACAGAAGAGGUUAAAGGAUUCGUUACAUCAGAAUAAAGAAAGAAUCAUCAAAAGCAUCCAGUCUGGAACCCACAGUGACAGCAGAAAAGGAGUUCCAGGUACGAACAUCCACAGGGGCCCGAGGAACGAGAACGGCAGCCCAUAGAGAUGCAGUGCACAUAGAGAUACAGUGCACAGAGAUGCAGUGCACAUAGAGAUGCAGUGCACACAGAGAUGCAGUGCACACAGAGAUGCAGUGCACACAGAGAUGCAGUGCACAUAGAGAUGCAGUGUUCUGAGUUGAGAAUCCACAUUCUGCUUACUGAUGCUACCUUAGAGCAGUGCCAUGCAACAGAUUAUGUGUAGAGUUGGAGAAUUAAAGUAUGUACAUAUGCUAAUGCAUCAUAAAGUUGAUUCGUAGUCAGGAUUUCAGUUAAGACUUUUGCCUUAAGUUCUAGAAAGGCGGAUUCUGAGAUGGUACAUUUAUUAGAGGUGAUGACUAUCUGGGAAAUGCUUUAUAGAUUGAAGCUGAUGAUGCUUUGACAUGUGUAUCCAUUAUAAUACAACAAGUCUUUAGAUAUUAUGACAUAAAAAAUGUUACACAUAAUCUUCCCAUUCCACAGGUCAAACAAUUAUGGAGCGAUCAAACCAUACUUUAAGGGAAAUGCUCAUAGACCAGAAGGGGACAUAGUGCCAAUGAGACGGAUAGCACGGCGGCUGGAAAGCACUGGACUGUAGAAAAGACUAAUAAAUUAGAGCAGUGUUUCUAUGUUUGCAGAGCAGAAGGACCAGACACCAAAGAAGGUCUGCUCCUGGCAGUAUCCUCAUUUUACUUCAAAGAUGCUGACAUCAAUGAAGCUCUUACAGAGUUUGCUUCAAUUGUACCACUGGCCAAGACACUGUCCUUGCUUCAGCAGCAUACAGUAUGUUGUCCAAACUGAACAAACAAGACACAAGGAAGUCCACUGCCUCGCUUUUCAAGGACACGGAAAUAGGGAAGUUCCAGCACAGAGAGAAGAUUCUGGGAUGGAGUCAUGUGGAGGCAAGAUUCACCCCAAACUGAGGAAGAUGGUCACAUGACUCUGAGGGGGCGGUAACUAGCCAUGUGGACUAUUCUAUUCCUGGACUGGGAACAGAACAAAUGGGAUAAAUCAGUUACGAGCUAAUGGGAACGACCCAAAGCCUUUGGCCUCUAGGCAUGUAUUCAUAAAAUAAUUCAGUCUCAGAGUCAUUAUUUUGGGGAGUAAAGAGACCAGCUGGAAAAGCUCACAGUUAUAGGUUAGAAUCAGGGAGUUUCCAUGAACUAAAGAAGGAAGGAAGGCAAACAAAGACAGCCAUCACUAUCCAUGGUUGCUCUUUCUGAAUUCUGUGGCCUAGUAAACCCAUGGUCUAAACUGAAACCAGAUAAAGUCACUUUCAAUUCGUCUACGUAAGAGCAAUAACUCUGCUGCCAUG